This 279-nucleotide ribosomal RNA is filed under the name uncultured bacterium. RNAcentral's name for it is "partial 16S ribosomal RNA". It matches the Rfam family "Bacterial small subunit ribosomal RNA", at positions 506 to 784 of the family's 1533-position model. The record is from RNAcentral.
UGCCAGCAGCCGCGGUAAUACGUAGGGUGCGAGCGUUGUCCGGAAUUAUUGGGCGUAAAGGGCUCGUAGGCGGUUUGUCGCGUCGGGAGUGAAAACCAGGUGCUUAACACCUGGCUUGCUUUCGAUACGGGCAGACUAGAGGUAUUCAGGGGAGAACGGAAUUCCUGGUGUAGCGGUGAAAUGCGCAGAUAUCAGGAGGAACACCGGUGGCGAAGGCGGUUCUCUGGGAAUGACCUGACGCUGAGGAGCGAAAGUGUGGGGAGCGAACAGGAUUAGAUA